RNAcentral lists this ribosomal RNA (445 nucleotides) under uncultured bacterium. RNAcentral's name for it is "partial 16S ribosomal RNA". It matches the Rfam family "Bacterial small subunit ribosomal RNA", at positions 354 to 796 of the family's 1533-position model. The record is from RNAcentral.
GUGAGGAAUAUUGGUCAAUGGACGAGAGUCUGAACCAGCCAAGUCGCGUGAAGGAAGACGGUUCUAUGAAUUGUAAACUUCUUUUGUGCAGGAAUAAAGUGGGUUACGUGUAACCUUUUGUAUGUACUGUACGAAUAAGGAUCGGCUAACUCCGUGCCAGUAGCCGCGGUAAUACGGAGGAUCCGAGCGUUAUCCGGCGUUAUUGGGUUUAAAGGGUGCGUAGGUGGAUUGAUAAGUCAGCGGUGAAAGUUUGCAGCUUAACUGUAAAAUUGCCGUUGAAACUGUCGGUCUUGAGUGCAAAUGAGGUAGGCGGAAUGUGUUGUGUAGCGGUGAAAUGCUUAGAUAUAACACAGAACUCCGAUUGCGAAGGCAGCUUACUGGGAUGCAACUGACACUGAUGCACGAAAGCGUGGGUAUCAAACAGGAUUAGAUACCCUGGUAGUCC